AAGUUGUUGUGAUCGAAUGAAACACUGGUCAAAUUUUAAACUGUCAUGAACUAAUGACAGUGUCCUCACAGUGUCCUCGAGGGAGACCCUGCUUCUUCUCCAUCACAGCAGGGGACUCUGUCUGAGGGACAUGGUUCGAGGAGAGGAGCUCACAUGUCCUUCGAUCUCUCCACAAGUCCUCCCUGUGGAGGGAUUUUGUUCAGUCUGGUGGUGACCAGAAGAGGAGCAGCCGACCCAGAUGUGUGCCAUCACCCUGCAACAUGCAACAGCUGUCAUUACUGAGGUUUAUCCAAACCUAAUCUGAGGAGCCUCUGGGAAGAGAACUUAAGACAAAAGGCUUGAGGGGUGGAUGCUGGCCAGGCAGCAGCAAAGGCGGAUGGAGUCAGAUGCUUGAGAAGAGAGGAGCACUAUAACCUGUAGUGGGGUGGAGAACAGUUUGUCUUUGGAAAUACAGCAUCCUGGUGUACAGAAGAGGAAGGAACACUCAUGUGCCUGUGAUUUGGGGAUGGUUACUUCCCAGUGUUAACCGGGAGCCAGACAGAGUUCCUUGCUCUGAAAGUUGUUAAAGCUGGUGACGGAACACACAGAAAGCGCCUGUGAUCACUU
Molecule: long non-coding RNA, 606 nt
Organism: Mus musculus (house mouse)
Lineage: Eukaryota; Metazoa; Chordata; Mammalia; Rodentia; Muridae
Product: predicted gene, 36740
Exons: 3
Source: RefSeq, a predicted model, not a curated record